AGUAAUGCAUAGGAAUCUGCCCGGUAGUGGGGGAUAACCUGGGGAAACCCAGGCUAAUACCGCAUACGUCCUACGGGAGAAAGGGGGCUUCGGCUCCCGCUAUUGGAUGAGCCUAUGUCGGAUUAGCUAGUUGGUGAGGUAAUGGCUUACCAAGGCAACGAUCCGUAGCUGGUCUGAGAGGAUGAUCAGCCACAUCGGGACUGAGACACGGCCCGAACUCCUACGGGAGGCAGCAGUGGGGAAUAUUGGACAAUGGGGGCAACCCUGAUCCAGCCAUGCCGCGUGUGUGAAGAAGGCCUUCGGGUUGUAAAGCACUUUCAGCGAGGAAGAACGCCUAGCGGUUAAUACCCGCUAGGAAAGACAUCACUCGCAGAAGAAGCACCGGCUAACUCCGUGCCAGCAGCCGCGGUAAUACGGAGGGUGCAAGCGUUAAUCGGAAUUACUGGGCGUAAAGCGCGCGUAGGUGGCUUGAUAAGCCGGUUGUGAAAGCCCCGGGCUCAACCUGGGAACGGCAUCCGGAACUGUCAGGCUAGAGUGCAGGAGAGGAAGGUAGAAUUCCCGGUGUAGCGGUGAAAUGCGUAGAGAUCGGGAGGAAUACCAGUGGCGAAGGCGGCCUUCUGGACUGACACUGACACUGAGGUGCGAAAGCGUGGGUAGCAAACAGGAUUAGAUACCCUGGUAGUCCACGCCGUAAACGAUGUCGACCAGCCGUUGGGUGC
RNAcentral lists this ribosomal RNA (719 nucleotides) under Halomonas sp. DPD5_(MB)_35.5mbsf. RNAcentral describes it as "bacterial SSU rRNA". It matches the Rfam family "Bacterial small subunit ribosomal RNA", at positions 109 to 830 of the family's 1533-position model. The record is from RNAcentral. Lineage: Bacteria; Pseudomonadati; Pseudomonadota; Gammaproteobacteria; Oceanospirillales; Halomonadaceae.